GAAUUUUUUUAAAAAACUUUAUAUAUCAGGCAGAUGGUGGAAUUUCUGGAUAAGAAGUGUAUUCAAGGGUAAAAGACAUGACAUCCCCCGAUGUUAAAACCUACCGAAAAUGCUGUGAAGCACUUUGUUAAUUUCUCAUCAUAUAUAACUUCAGAAGGGGAGCAGAUGUGGCGGAGGCUAGGGUAGAGGACUACAAUUUGAGAUACAGACUAAGAGAAAAUGACCCAAUUUAUUUGGAUUUUAAGAAAGAAAAUCCAAAUUUCAAAGGAAGCAAUGAAGUCAUGUCGGUGAAAGG
This 295-nucleotide unclassified non-coding RNA is filed under the name Eurytemora carolleeae. Its description in RNAcentral is "uncharacterized LOC111708096". The record is from RNAcentral. Lineage: Eukaryota; Metazoa; Arthropoda; Copepoda; Calanoida; Temoridae.